GACGAACGCUGGCGGCGUGCCUAAUACAUGCAAGUCGAGCGGACUUGAAGGAGUGCUUGCACUCCUGAGAGUUAGCGGCGGACGGGUGAGUAACACGUAUGCAACCUGCCCUCAAGACUGGGAUAACUACCGGAAACGGUAGCUAAUACCGGAUAAUUUAUUACAUAGCAUUAUGUGAUAAUGAAAGACGGAGCAAUCUGUCACUUGGGGAUGGGCCUGCGGCGCAUUAGCUAGUUGGUGGGGUAACGGCCCACCAAGGCGACGAUGCGUAGCCGACCUGAGAGGGUGAACGGCCACACUGGGACUGAGACACGGCCCAGACUCCUACGGGAGGCAGCAGUAGGGAAUCUUCCGCAAUGGGCGAAAGCCUGACGGAGCAACGCCGCGUGAGUGAUGAAGGUGUUCGGAUCGUAAAGCUCUGUUGCCAAGGAAGAACGUCUCAUAGAGUAACUGCUAUGAGAGUGACGGUACUUGAGAAGAAAGCCCCGGCUAACUACGUG
Molecule: ribosomal RNA, 500 nt
Filed under: uncultured bacterium
Lineage: Bacteria
Description: partial 16S ribosomal RNA
Rfam family: Bacterial small subunit ribosomal RNA
Source: RNAcentral